CCUGCGCCUGCCAAGAGGAAGGCGCGGGUAGAGCCGGGCUCCGAGAAGGUCGCCGUGCAGGUGGUGGAGACAUAUAGGAGUUACCGUAGGCGAAUAUUCCCAACUGCAGGGUGGAAAGCCUUCAUCAAUCCUUGGGAAACCUGGGACUUCAUUUAUAGACUAUACUUCACCUCCUUCUGAAGAUACACUUGAUGUCAAGAAUUAAGGAAUGGACAGGAUGAAUAUAAAGGCAAGCCCAGCACCCACCCCAAAUCCAGGCAUCCAAAGAACACCUGGGGGCAGAUUAUGAGUGCCAGAAGAGGAUCGUUGAAACCGGCUGCUUUCAAAUCAAAAAGACCAGCAAAACCUCCAAGAUCAACAUCACAGCCUGUUGGAGAGAAAAUUAAUUACUUGCUGCAUUUCAACAGCAAAGAGUUGAUCAAGAAAGCAGAUAUUAAAGGGAGCCUGAGAGCCACAACUGCUAAGCCCGUGUGCCACAACUACUGAAGCCUGUGCACCUAGAGCCCGUUCUCUGUAACAAGAAGCCUGCGCACCACAACAAAGAAUAGCCCCUACUCGCCACAACUAGAGAAAGCCCACGUGCAGCAAUGAAGACUCAAUGCAGCCAAA
Lagenorhynchus albirostris (white-beaked dolphin) is the source of this 609-nucleotide long non-coding RNA. RefSeq lists it as uncharacterized. NCBI's taxonomy places the organism in Eukaryota, Metazoa, Chordata, Mammalia, Artiodactyla, Delphinidae. The record is from RefSeq and is a predicted model, not a curated record. The transcript is spliced from 5 exons.